Molecule: ribosomal RNA, 475 nt
Filed under: uncultured bacterium
Lineage: Bacteria
Description: bacterial SSU rRNA
Rfam family: Bacterial small subunit ribosomal RNA
Source: RNAcentral
AAACCUGCCGGUCAAUACCCGGUAGCCUGACAUUACCUUUAGAAGAAGCACCGGCUAACUCCGUGCCAGCAGCCGCGGUAAUACGGAGGGUGCGAGCGUUAAUCGGAAUUACUGGGCGUAAAGCGUGCGUAGGCGGUUCGUUAAGUCAGAUGUGAAAGCCCUGGGCUCAACCUGGGAACUGCAUUUGAAACUGGCGGACUAGAGUUUAGUAGAGGGGAGUGGAAUUUCAGGUGUAGCGGUGAAAUGCGUAGAUAUCUGAAGGAACACCAGUGGCGAAGGCGACUCCCUGGACUAGAACUGACGCUGAGGUACGAAAGCGUGGGUAGCAAACAGGAUUAGAUACCCUGGUAGUCCACGCCGUAAACGAUGUCGACUAGCCGUUGGUCCUAUUUACAGGAUUAGUGGCGCAGCUAACGCAUUAAGACGACCGCCUGGGGAGUACGGCCGCAGGGUUAAAACUCAAAGGAAUUGACGG